This 435-nucleotide ribosomal RNA is filed under the name uncultured bacterium. Its description in RNAcentral is "partial 16S ribosomal RNA". It matches the Rfam family "Bacterial small subunit ribosomal RNA", at positions 29 to 507 of the family's 1533-position model. The record is from RNAcentral.
AGCGAACGCUGGCGGCAGGCUUAACACAUGCAAGUCGAGCGGGCACUUUCGGGUGUCAGCGGCGGACGGGUGAGUAACGCGUGGGAACGUGCCCUCUGGUUCGGAAUAACUCAGGGAAACUUGAGCUAAUACCGGAUACGCCCUUUUGGGGAAAGGCUUGCUGCCGGAGGAUCGGCCCGCGUCUGAUUAGCUAGUUGGUGAGGUAACGGCUCACCAAGGCGACGAUCAGUAGCUGGUCUGAGAGGAUGAUCAGCCACACUGGGGCUGAGACACGGCCCAGACUCCUACGGGAGGCAGCAGUGGGGAAUAUUGGACAAUGGGCGCAAGCCUGAUCCAGCCAUGCCGCGUGAGUGAUCAAGGCCUUAGGGUUGUAAAGCUCUUUUAUCCGGGACGAUAAUGACGGUACCGGAGGAAUAAGCCCCGGCUAACUUCGUG